RNAcentral lists this ribosomal RNA (1566 nucleotides) under Trichosurus caninus (mountain brushtail possum). RNAcentral describes it as "16S ribosomal RNA". It matches the Rfam family "Bacterial large subunit ribosomal RNA". The record is from RNAcentral. Lineage: Eukaryota; Metazoa; Chordata; Mammalia; Diprotodontia; Phalangeridae.
GCCAAUCACAGCCCUAGCACCUAUCAAAAAAAUUAUCUCAACAAACAAAAAAAAACAUUUUAACCUAUCACAGUAUAGGAGAUAGAACAGAUAAGCAGGCGCAAUAACAUUAGUACCGUAAGGGAAAAAUGAAAGACCAAUUAAAAGCACCAAAAAGCAAAGAUUUAACCUUUUACCUUUUGCAUAAUGAUUUAGCCAGUUAAAUCGGACAAAAAGAAUUACGCCCGCCCCCCCGAAAUCAAGUGAGCUACUAUAAAACAGUACACCAGAACCAACUCGUCUAUGUAGCAAAAUAGUGAGAAGAUUUUAUAGUAGAGGUGAAAAGCCAACCGAACUUGAAGAUAGCUGGUUGUCCAAAACAUGAAUUUUAGUUCAACUUUAAAUUUUAAUCAAAGUCCUAACAACCAUAAUUUAAAUUUAAAAUAUAAUCCAAAGAGGGACAACUCUUUAGAUCACGUGAACAAACUUUCUUAGAGGAUAAUGUACAUUAUAACAAACAUUGUGGGCCUAAAAGCAGCCAUCAAUUAAGAAAGCGUUAAAGCUCAAACCUACUUACACCUUAAUACCAACAAUCCUACCAAACUCCCUAACCCCAUAUUGGACGAUUUUAUUAACUUAUAAAAGACAUAAUGCUAAAAUCAGUAACAAGAAAUAAUUCUCCUUGCACAAGCCUACAUUAGUAACGGAACAACCACUAACAAUUAACAAACAAAUAACAAUAAUCACAAACUAGCAAAAUUACUAAUACAUUGUUAACCCAACACAGGAGUGCAUUCAGGAAAGAUUAAAAAGAAUAAAAGGAACUCGGCAAACAAAAACCCCGCCUGUUUACCAAAAACAUCACCUCUAGCAUAUCAAGUAUUAGAGGCACUGCCUGCCCAGUGAGUUAAACUUUAACGGCCGCGGUAUCCUGACCGUGCAAAGGUAGCAUAAUCACUUGUCCCUUAAAUAGAGACUAGUAUGAAUGGCAUAACGAGGGUUUAACUGUCUCUUAUCCUUAAUCAGUGAAAUUGACCUUCCCGUGCAGAGGCGGGAAUAUCCUUACAAGACGAGAAGACCCUAUGGAGCUUAAGAUUCAUAGUCUAACCUAACUUAACAAAACCCUACAUGGAACAAUAUAAUGACUAACUAGACUAUAACCUUUGGUUGGGGUGACCUCGGAGCACAAUAAAACCUCCGAAUGACAUAACUUAGAUCUACUAAUCCAAGUGUGACACCACCAGUAAUUGACCCAUAUAUUGAUCAACGGAACAAGUUACCCUAGGGAUAACAGCGCAAUCCUAUUCAAGAGCCCAUAUCGACAAUUAGGGUUUACGACCUCGAUGUUGGAUCAGGACAUCCAAAUGGUGCAACCGCUAUUAACGGUUCGUUUGUUCAACGAUUAAAGUCCUACGUGAUCUGAGUUCAGACCGGAGAAAUCCAGGUCGGUUUCUAUCUGUAUAUUAAUUUCUCCCAGUACGAAAGGACAAGAGAAAUAAGGCCUACGCUACUAACGAGCCUUAGAAAUAAGAUAUGAAUAUAUCUAAAUAUCUUAAUUCAAUAACUUUAUGCUCUAGAAAAGAGCUA